Gossypium raimondii (Peruvian cotton) is the source of this 1727-nucleotide long non-coding RNA. RefSeq lists it as uncharacterized. The record is from RefSeq and is a predicted model, not a curated record. Lineage: Eukaryota; Viridiplantae; Streptophyta; Magnoliopsida; Malvales; Malvaceae. The transcript is spliced from 2 exons.
AAGUGCAAUGAAAGGCAAAAGUGAGUGGCAUUGCCAGUUACAUGAGCUGUUGUAGCUAUAGCUGGGACUGGAUAAAUCUCAAGAUAAAAAAAGAAAAAGGUUGUGGGUUUGAUUUUGUAUGCAUUAAUAUGAUGCAAUUAAAGCUUUUUCCUUUUAUAGGAGGGUCUCCGGGGGGCGGGGGGAGGAGAGUGAUCCAUUGGUUAAACAGGAAACCCUAACUCUGCCUUAUCUUAAAAUGGUUUCCCAGAUCUGUAUUUGAAGGAGCAAGAUAUAAUGAGGGUUGGUUGGUUUCUACGGUCUCAAUGGUAAUUUAGCAAAUGAUGGUAAGGAAUGGAUGAUGUCUUGUGUUGAAGAAGAAGAAGAAGAAGAAGAAGAAGAAGAAGAGGGCCAAUGAGAAAAAAGAGAGAUUGACAGAAGAGAGUGAGCACUCACAGGCAAUUGUAUGCAAAAGGCAUACCUUUAUCCGUGGUUGCUUACUUCUCUUCUGUCGGCUAUUUUAUUCUUCUUCAUCAUUAUCUUCUUCUUCUUCUUCUUCUUCUUCUUCUUCUUCUUCCUGCAUGUCAAUUAUCAAAGACCCUUUCGUUUGUUUUUGAUAUGUGUCGGGUUAUAAUAAUAUCGAUAAACUGUACUAUUAUUUUCCUCUGCCUUUUAGUAUUCCAAUUUCGAGUGUGUGUUUUUUUCUUGGGAAUAUUUAAAAUAACGAGAAGAAGUCCUUCAAUGGAAGCUUUGAAGUAAAGCGUGACUUUUUAUGGUCCUUUCUGUUUGAAGAGAGGACGAAAAAUGCUACUUAGAACAUAUAGUACGCCUACGUACUGUUCUUGUUUUUAACGAAAAACCAGGGAUGUAAAUAGCGGUCGAUCGGGUAGCGGAAUAGCGGCCGCAAUAUAGCCGUACUGGCGCCCUCCAAAACCGCUGCUGCUGAAAAUAGCGGUGUGAAGCGGAGUCACACCAGUAGCGGUGGACCGCGGCCGCAAUUUUAACGGUUAACGGCCAAUUGCGGCAAUAACGGGCCGCUAUUCCCGUUGAUAUCUAUUUUUUUACUUUGUUAUUAGUUAUUAGUUGUGUGAAUUUUAAAAAAAUUCACGAACGCAAUUUAAAUCCCUGCGAAAAACAUAACCGGUAUCUUCGUAUUUUUAUUCAUUUUCCCUUUAUUUAAAACUCCUCUUCCUAUAUAUUCAUGCUUUCUUGGAGGCGGCCAUGCAAGAAUCAUGGAAGGAGAAGGAAAUCUCCGAUAUGAAUUUGAGUAACUCAAAACUCUCAUGGAAGCAUCUCAGUUGUCCAUCCUCAACUUGAAGGAACGCGAAGUUAAUGCCGGAAUUUGCAUGCUGCAACAUCACUACUGAAAAACAGGCAAGAUAAAAAUAAACCCGACAUGGGUAAGGCAUUUGAUCAUGUCUCGUUUGUUCUGCGGAUGGAAACGAGAAUGAACAUGUCGACCCUUGGAGUAAGUUUACAAAGGCUGUUGGAAUAGCAACCUGAAUUAUUAGGAGAAGAAGAUGAAGGUAGUAUAAGAUUGUAGAUUGGAGUAAAUUACAGAGAGUAAUUGUAAUUAAAUAAUGUCCUUGCUUCAAUUCACAUGAAUAAAUGUGUCUCAAGCCACUAUAUAUUGGUUUUUUAAAAUAAAAUUAGGAAGAAUUUCUCGGCUUUGAACCCCAUGUAAUGCCUGGUUAGGGUGUUUAUCGUCCCAACUGUGGUCUGGGUUUGAGUCACACUAGUUAUAUUUAUUA